AUGAAUUUAUGAUAGGGCAAUUGACCUGGCACUGCGCAUGCAAUCCGUCCGUGAGAUGCAGAAUUGAUCGAAAUGCCAGUUUCCGGAUUUUUUUGUUCCAUUAUUUCAAUUUUUGUGUUGAAUCUGCUGCUCACUUGGGAUGUCCCGGAGACUGCAGCGGCCCAUACCGCAUGCAAAAUCCCCGCCGUGCCCAACGCAGAGAUUGUGACCAAUGCCGAUGACUAUGGGGACUAUGGGGAUUACGGUGAGGAGAAAGCCGGUGCAGUGCCAAAUGAGGACUACAUUUCGAUACAAUGUUACUAUGGUUUCACCUCGGAGUCGAGGACCACCCUCUUCACCUGUCGGAAUGGAACAUGGUCACCACAACUUCCGACCUGCAAGAAAGUUCUCAUAGUGAAAAAGCCAUCUGUAUCAAACUGCGUGUUGCCGCCACUGCUUUAUGGCACCAUCCUUUUUGAGGGUAAAUUACCGCCGCCCAAAAUGGUCCCUGUUGGUAGUAACAUCACGUUCACCUGCAUCGAAGGCUACCGCCUCGAGGGGGCAACCGGCCUCACCUGCAAACCUGAUCUCCAAUGGAAGCAAGCAGUGCCAAUUUGCAUAUCACUCGCCAGCAAUAGCUGUCCGAUACCAAGAAUUGAGAACAGCCGCAUCUAUAUGCGUCGCGUGGAAAUCCAUGACUUGCAGAUCAGAAUCAAUCCCGGGGAGGAAAUGGAUAUCGGGUGUGCGCCAGGGUAUCGGAGAGUGGGGUCGAGAUAUUUGAAAUGCCGGGAGGAUGGAACUCUGAGUCCACAUUCACCUGUGUGCAGGGUACAGAUAUAUCGGUUUGGAGCAUGCUUCUUACCGAAAGUAAAUAACGCCCAAUAUUUGAAUAUCAGUCUCGAAGACUGGAACGACAUCCGGAUGAAAGGUUUAAACCUCACGAAAUAUCAAAACCAUUCCAUCGUCAACGAGGAUGGACAUGUAGACAAAACUAUGAUUCAGAUUCCUUUGGGAACGAUUGUUGCUGUAAGAUGCAACAUAGACUUUGAAAUUAUUGGUCAGCCAGUCAUCAAAUGCAACCAGUCUGAACCUGUCGCCAAAUUCGAAUGGCCGCGAUGUCAACGACCCAACAAGGUGGAUAAAGGUAGCAACCAAGGUAUAAGUGUCGUACCCAUUGGAAUUUCUGUAGCAGCUGGGAUAGUCAUACUUCUGGCAGUGAUAGUUGGAGUCAUUAUCUGGAGGAGACGUCGGCAGCCAGCAAGGCAACAGAAUUCCCAUAAUAUACAUAUAUCUGGACGUCAAGGCAGUCGUGGUGAUCUAAAUGGUCCAACAGCAUCCGUGUAAAGAAGAUACUGCAAUAUAUGCGGUAGUCAUGACACUAACAAAGAACCUGCUCUUGGGAAAAAAAGUCUAACCUCGUUUGAUAACAAAGAGGCCCAAGAGGUGCUCAGCUGAAAUACUCGGGUACAAUAUACCAAACAUGGAAAGUACCUGAAACCGCAAGUGACUUCAUGAGAGCUCGACUACCACUAUUUACUAUGAACCCAGAUUAAAUAGUAAAGAAGCUUGUGUUGUAGGAAUCACCUGACAAAACCAAAAAAACAAACACAUUUUUUGGAAAAUUUACUGCAUUAAAAGACUGUUUCUCAAGUAUUCUAAAGCAAUCCAUACUGCACGACUUACAGGGUACUGUAGGCACAGUUUGUGCAGUUCGAAGUCGGACAUGACACCCAUAUCCUCGAAUAUCAGCUGCGGGUCAGCUGCCACGUGGUCUGGAUCCUGUAAACAACAAAUCCAAAUCUGAAAUAACUAUGUCAUGUACAGUGGAACCUCCGUUAGUGGACACCUCUCUAUUAAGGACAACCUCUCUAUCACGGACACUUGUUUUGGUCCUAAUUUGGUUGUUUCCAUUCAAUUUGACCUCUCUGAUCAGGACACUUCUCUAUCAAGGACAGCACUUGUCAGUCCUGAGAGGGUGACCCUAAUGGAGGUUUUUACUGUAUUGUAAUGAAAUGUCAUCUGCACCCACAUCAUGUCGGUCAUCCAAAAUGGCAGAUAUGACAUCAACUGCACUUCACGAAUUGAAAUCGGAUCACUUUAUCUCAGUAUUUUGUCACACAUGUACUUGACAAAGUUUUUGACGUAAUCCCUUUCUUAUUAAUCAUGCAGAAUAUGAACUCGUAAUAUUGACCAUAAUUAGUACAAUUUAUAUGAUGAUUCCAUACUCUUGAUCAUGUACAUUUAAAUCACUCGGAAUUUUGUGUCAAAUAUGACAGUUGUAACGUCAUCUGUAUCUAAUGUUUUAUUUCAAUCUGAUCAGUAAAUCUAAACAUAAUUUUGUACUUUACUAAGUUUUAAUAAAAUAUCUCGUUUGCUAAGCUUGCUGAACAUAGUAAACUCAAGCGUUAUCAUUAGUACUACCGGUACAUGUACGUUAAUUCCAUUGUAUAUUCGAUUCUUUUACACAUUAGUAUGUACGACUCACUCAUAAUUAUGUGGUGUAAAAUUUCCUUGAUUAAA
Lineus longissimus is the source of this 2499-nucleotide RNA transcript. It is a transcript of the gene named sushi, von Willebrand factor type A, EGF and pentraxin domain-containing protein 1-like, with no coding region annotated. Lineage: Eukaryota; Metazoa; Nemertea; Pilidiophora; Heteronemertea; Lineidae. The record is from RefSeq and is a predicted model, not a curated record. The transcript has 9 exons.